UACGUAGGUGGCGAGCGUUGUUCGGAUUUAUUGGGCGUAAAGGGUCCGCAGGAGGUUUGUUAAAAUUGGGGUGAAAUCCCGGAGCUCAACUCCGGAACUGCCUUGAUGACUGACGAACUAGAGUGCUGGAGAGGUAAGCGGAAUACCAGGUGUAGCGGUGGAAUGCGUAGAUAUCUGGUAGAACACCGAAAGCGAAGGCAGCUUACUGGACAGCAACUGACUCUCAGGGACGAAAGCGUGGGGAGCAAACAGGAUUAGAUACCCUGGUAGUCCACGCCGUAAACGUUGUCAACUUGAUGUGGGGGGAUUUAGUCCCCUCCGUAUCGAAGCUAACGCGAUAAGUUGACCGCCUGGGGACUACGGCCGCAAGGCUAAA
RNAcentral lists this ribosomal RNA (376 nucleotides) under uncultured bacterium. RNAcentral describes it as "bacterial SSU rRNA". It matches the Rfam family "Bacterial small subunit ribosomal RNA", at positions 524 to 898 of the family's 1533-position model. The record is from RNAcentral.